AUUGAACGCUGGCGGCAUACCUUACACAUGCAAGUCGAACGGUAACAGGUCUUCGGAUGCUGACGAGUGGCGAACGGGUGAGUAAUACAUCGGAACGUGCCUAGUAGUGGGGGAUAACUACUCGAAAGAGUGGCUAAUACCGCAUGAGAUCUACGGAUGAAAGCAGGGGAUCGCAAGACCUUGUGCUACUAGAGCGGCCGAUGGCAGAUUAGGUAGUUGGUGGGAUAAAAGCUUACCAAGCCGACGAUCUGUAGCUGGUCUGAGAGGACGAUCAGCCACACUGGGACUGAGACACGGCCCAGACUCCUACGGGAGGCAGCAGUGGGGAAUUUUGGACAAUGGGCGCAAGCCUGAUCCAGCAAUGCCGCGUGCAGGAUGAAGGCCUUCGGGUUGUAAACUGCUUUUGUACGGAACGAAAAGCCCCGGGUUAAUACCCUGGGGUCAUGACGGUACCGUAAGAAUAAGCACCGGCUAACUACGUGCCAGCCGCCGCGGUAC
This 498-nucleotide ribosomal RNA is filed under the name uncultured bacterium. RNAcentral describes it as "partial 16S ribosomal RNA". It matches the Rfam family "Bacterial small subunit ribosomal RNA", at positions 30 to 523 of the family's 1533-position model. The record is from RNAcentral.